RNAcentral lists this ribosomal RNA (231 nucleotides) under Bacteroides caecigallinarum. RNAcentral's name for it is "partial 23S ribosomal RNA". It matches the Rfam family "Bacterial large subunit ribosomal RNA", at positions 2058 to 2298 of the family's 2925-position model. The record is from RNAcentral. Lineage: Bacteria; Pseudomonadati; Bacteroidota; Bacteroidia; Bacteroidales; Bacteroidaceae.
GAUGCCGAUUACCCGCGAUGGGACGAAAAGACCCCGUGAACCUUUACUAUAGCUUAGCAUUGAAUUUGGGCACGCGAUGUGUAGGAUAGGUCGGAGGCUUUGAAGCAGGCACGCCAGUGUUUGUGGAGCCGCUGUUGAAAUACGACCCUUCGUUUGUUUGAGUUCUAACUUCAGAAAAGAAGGACAUUGCUUGGUGGGUAGUUUGACUGGGGUGGUCGCCUCCAAAAGCGU